Molecule: ribosomal RNA, 451 nt
Filed under: uncultured bacterium
Lineage: Bacteria
Description: bacterial SSU rRNA
Rfam family: Bacterial small subunit ribosomal RNA
Source: RNAcentral
GUGAGGAAUAUUGCGCAAUGGGGGAAACCCUGACGCAGCGACGCCGCGUGAGUGAGGAAGGCCUUCGGGUCGUAAAGCUCUGUCAAAGGGAAAGAAGUGCAUGAUGGCUAAUACCUGUCAUGUUUGACGGUACCCUUAAAGGAAGCACCGGCUAACUCCGUGCCAGCAGCCGCGGUAAUACGGAGGGUGCAAGCGUUGUUCGGAAUCACUGGGCGUAAAGGGCGCGUAGGCGGUUUGAUAAGUCAGAUGUGAAAGCCCACGGCUUAACUGUGGAAGUGCAUUUGAAACUGUCAGACUUGAGUAUCAGAGGGGAAAGUGGAAUUCCCGGUGUAGAGGUGAAAUUCGUAGAUAUCGGGAGGAAUACCGGUGGCGAAGGCGACUUUCUGGCUGAAUACUGACGCUGAGGCGCGAAAGCGUGGGGAGCAAACAGGAUUAGAAACCCCUGUAGUCC